RNAcentral lists this transfer RNA (73 nucleotides) under Actinotalea fermentans. It matches the Rfam family "tRNA". From Rfam's summary of the family: Transfer RNA (tRNA) molecules are approximately 80 nucleotides in length. The record is from Rfam by way of RNAcentral. Lineage: Bacteria; Bacillati; Actinomycetota; Actinomycetes; Micrococcales; Cellulomonadaceae.
CGGGAUGUGGCGCAGGUGGUAGCGCGUCCGCUUUGGGAGCGGAAGGUCGCGAGUUCGAGUCUCGCCAUCCCGA